This 249-nucleotide long non-coding RNA is filed under the name Elaeis guineensis (African oil palm). RNAcentral describes it as "long non-coding RNA (EGUI_LNC031800)". The record is from RNAcentral. Lineage: Eukaryota; Viridiplantae; Streptophyta; Magnoliopsida; Arecales; Arecaceae.
CCUACUGACCUGUAGUCUCUAUAACGAAUUACAAAUAUUAAUUGAACUUUCGGUAUCCAAUAUCCAGAUAGUAGUAUCACAGAUAGAAAAAUUAUAAGGAGUUAUCAUAUAAGUACCUUAUGAAGUAACAAAUUGAUUGCUUCUCUUAUUCUUUGGCCUAUUCGGAUCAAGAAAAGCUAUAUAUGUAGGAUAGUUCCUCUUUCAAUAAUCCAGCUUCUUAUAGAAGAAGCAUUCUGUCUGGCUCUUGUC